UACCCUGCCACGGUACAGACCCG
Molecule: non-coding RNA, 23 nt
Filed under: Arabidopsis thaliana (thale cress)
Lineage: Eukaryota; Viridiplantae; Streptophyta; Magnoliopsida; Brassicales; Brassicaceae
Source: RNAcentral